This 253-nucleotide ribosomal RNA is filed under the name uncultured bacterium. Its description in RNAcentral is "partial 16S ribosomal RNA". It matches the Rfam family "Bacterial small subunit ribosomal RNA", at positions 524 to 776 of the family's 1533-position model. The record is from RNAcentral.
UACGUAGGGGGCAAGCGUUGUCCGGAUUUAUUGGGCGUAAAGAGCUCGUAGGCGGUUUGUCGCGUCUGCCGUGAAAGUCCGGGGCUCAACUCCGGAUCUGCGGUGGGUACGGGCAGACUAGAGUGAUGUAGGGGAGACUGGAAUUCCUGGUGUAGCGGUGAAAUGCGCAGAUAUCAGGAGGAACACCGAUGGCGAAGGCAGGUCUCUGGGCACUUACUGACGCUGAGGAGCGAAAGCGUGGGGAGCGAACAGG